AGUGGCGAACGGGUGAGUAAAGUAUCGGAACGUGCCCAGUCGUGGGGGAUAACGUAGCGAAAGUUACGCUAAUACCGCAUACGAUCUAUGGAUGAAAGCGGGGGAUCGCAAGACCUCGCGCGAUUGGAGCGGCCGAUAUCAGAUUAGGUAGUUGGUGGGGUAAAGGCUCACCAAGCCGACGAUCUGUAGCUGGUCUGAGAGGACGACCAGCCACACUGGGACUGAGACACGGCCCAGACUCCUACGGGAGGCAGCAGUGGGGAAUUUUGGACAAUGGGCGCAAGCCUGAUCCAGCCAUGCCGCGUGCAGGAUGAAGGCCUUCGGGUUGUAAACUGCUUUUGUACGGAACGAAAAGGUUUGGCCUAAUAAGCUGAGCUCAUGACGGUACCGUAAGAAUAAGCACCGGCUAACUACGUGCCAGCAGCCGCGGUAAUACGUAGGGUGCGAGCGUUAAUCGGAAUUACUGGGCGUAAAGCGUGCGCAGGCGGUUAUGUAAGACAGAUGUGAAAUCCCCGGGCUCAACCUGGGAACUGCGUUUGUGACUGCAUCACUCGAGUACGGCAGAGGGAGGUGGAAUUCCGCGUGUAGCAGUGAAAUGCGUAGAUAUGCGGAGGAACACCGAUGGCGAAGGCAGCCUCCUGGGCCAGUACUGACGCUCAUGCACGAAAGCGUGG
This 674-nucleotide ribosomal RNA is filed under the name uncultured Curvibacter sp. RNAcentral's name for it is "bacterial SSU rRNA". It matches the Rfam family "Bacterial small subunit ribosomal RNA", at positions 94 to 764 of the family's 1533-position model. The record is from RNAcentral. Lineage: Bacteria; Pseudomonadati; Pseudomonadota; Betaproteobacteria; Burkholderiales; Comamonadaceae.